Podarcis muralis (Common wall lizard) is the source of this 247-nucleotide non-coding RNA. NCBI's taxonomy places the organism in Eukaryota, Metazoa, Chordata, Lepidosauria, Squamata, Lacertidae. The record is from RefSeq and is a predicted model, not a curated record.
UCCCCUUUUAACUACAGGAAACAAGUCUUGCUUCAUACCAGAGACAUUGCUUAGUGGAAGGCGUUGCCAUGGGAAGUAGAUGCUCCUUGGAGCUGUCGAAAGAAGCAGCUACAACCCCACUCGUCCUCAUCUCAGACUCCCAUGCCUUGUAACUAAAAGACAAAGACUGCCGGACUUAAGAAGCCUGGAAGCAAAGGGUCAAUAAUGAACUUUUAUGCUGUGCCUGAGAUCUAUGGGUAUGGGGUGG